CCUGAAACACACACAGGUUACACACACACACAACGGUCCAAAUACAAGGUCCAGUCCACAGCUGAAACACACACACACACACACACACAACGGUCCAAAUACAAGGUCCAGUCCACAGCUGCUGCUGGGUGUUACCUCUUCAUGGUCACCACGGCAUCAAUGUCAUGGUUGUCCUCUUUGGUCUCCAGGUCUCUCAGAACAAUCUGCAGAUAAGAGAGAUCUGUUGGUUCUCUGGUGGAGGGGUUGUGUGUGUGUGUGUUUACGUACCUUGGCCAGUCUCGGUGGUUCUCUGGUGAAGGGGUUGUGUGUGUGUGUUUACGUACCUUGGCCAGUCUCGGUGGUUCUCUGGUGAAGGGGUUGUGUGUGUGUGUUUACGUACCUUGGCCAGUCUCGGUGGUUCUCUGGUGGAGGGGUUGUGUGUGUGUUUACGUACCUUGGCCAGUCUCUCUGGCUGCUCUGUGGUUUUCUGGUAAAGCUCCAGACAGAGGGAUGCCAGGCGGCCAGGACCAGACAGGAUGUGAUGUCGCCGAGCAGGAAGGGGCGUGCCCGAGGGGAGGAGCACAGAGAACA
Long non-coding RNA from Oncorhynchus tshawytscha (Chinook salmon), 570 nucleotides. RefSeq lists it as uncharacterized. The record is from RefSeq and is a predicted model, not a curated record. Lineage: Eukaryota; Metazoa; Chordata; Actinopteri; Salmoniformes; Salmonidae. The transcript is spliced from 2 exons.